CCUACGGGUGGCAGCAGUGGGGAAUAUUGCACAAUGGGCGCAAGCCUGAUGCAGCCAUGCCGCGUGUGUGAAGAAGGCCUUCGGGUUGUAAAGCACUUUCAGCGGGGAGGAAGGCGUUAAGGUUAAUAACCUUGGCGAUUGACGUUACCCGCAGAAGAAGCACCGGCUAACUCCGUGCCAGCAGCCGCGGUAAUACGGAGGGUGCAAGCGUUAAUCGGAAUUACUGGGCGUAAAGCGCACGCAGGCGGUCUGUCAAGUCGGAUGUGAAAUCCCCGGGCUCAACCUGGGAACUGCAUUCGAAACUGGCAGGCUAGAGUCUUGUAGAGGGGGGUAGAAGUCCAGGUGUAGCGGUGAAAUGCGUAGAGAUCUGGAGGAAUACCGGUGGCGAAGGCGGCCCCCUGGACAAAGACUGACGCUCAGGUGCGAAAGCGUGGGGAGCAAACAGGAUUAGAUACCCUUGUAGUC
Molecule: ribosomal RNA, 465 nt
Filed under: uncultured Klebsiella sp.
Lineage: Bacteria; Pseudomonadati; Pseudomonadota; Gammaproteobacteria; Enterobacterales; Enterobacteriaceae
Description: bacterial SSU rRNA
Rfam family: Bacterial small subunit ribosomal RNA
Source: RNAcentral